Molecule: ribosomal RNA, 254 nt
Filed under: uncultured bacterium
Lineage: Bacteria
Description: partial 16S ribosomal RNA
Rfam family: Bacterial small subunit ribosomal RNA
Source: RNAcentral
UACGAAGGGGACUAGCGUUGUUCGGAUUUACUGGGCGUAAAGCGCGCGUAGGCGGAUCGCUAAGUCAGGGGUGAAAUCCCAGGGCUCAACCCUGGAACUGCCUUUGAUACUGACGGUCUGGAGAUCGGGAGAGGUUGGUGGAAUUCCGAGUGUAGAGGUGAAAUUCGUAGAUAUUCGGAGGAACACCAGAAGCGAAGGCGGCCAACUGGCCCGAUACUGACGCUCAGGCGCGACAGCGUGGGGGAUCAAACAGG